Molecule: ribosomal RNA, 484 nt
Filed under: uncultured bacterium
Lineage: Bacteria
Description: partial 16S ribosomal RNA
Rfam family: Bacterial small subunit ribosomal RNA
Source: RNAcentral
GUUGAACGCUGGCGGCAGGCCUAACACAUGCAAGUCGAGCGGAUGAAGGGAGCUUGCUCCUGGAUUCAGCGGCGGACGGGUGAGUAAUGCCUAGGAAUCUGCCUGGUAGUGGGGGAUAACGUCCGGAAGCGGGCGCUAAUACCGCAUACGUCCUGAGGGAGAAAGUGGGGGAUCUUCGGACCUCACGCUAUCAGAUGAGCCUAGGUCGGAUUAGCUAGUUGGUGGGGUAAAGGCCUACCAAGGCGACGAUCCGUAACUGGUCUGAGAGGAUGAUCAGUCACACUGGAACUGAGACACGGUCCAGACUCCUACGGGAGGCAGCAGUGGGGAAUAUUGGACAAUGGGCGAAAGCCUGAUCCAGCCAUGCCGCGUGUGUGAAGAAGGUCUUCGGAUUGUAAAGCACUUUAAGUUGGGAGGAAGGGCAGUAAGUUAAUACCUUGCUGUUUUGACGUUACCAACAGAAUAAGCACCGGCUAACUUCGUG